AAAAAAAAUCGAAGAAACCAACGCACUGCUCCCAGCAUGAACACUCCUUUGACAAAUGUCCAAUUUGUAGGCUUUUGUGUUGAGAGCUACCGCUUAAGAUUGAUUGUAUUGUGUGUUUUUACUCAUACAACGAAA
Bradysia coprophila is the source of this 135-nucleotide long non-coding RNA. NCBI's taxonomy places the organism in Eukaryota, Metazoa, Arthropoda, Insecta, Diptera, Sciaridae. The record is from RefSeq and is a predicted model, not a curated record.